Molecule: ribosomal RNA, 233 nt
Filed under: uncultured bacterium
Lineage: Bacteria
Description: partial 16S ribosomal RNA
Rfam family: Bacterial small subunit ribosomal RNA
Source: RNAcentral
UAACCUGCCUUGGAGUGGGGAAUAACAGCUGGAAACAGCUGCUAAUACCGCAUGAUGCAGUUGGGUCGCAUGGCUCUGACUGCCAAAGAUUUAUCGCUCUGAGAUGGACUCGCGUCUGAUUAGCUAGUUGGCGGGGUAACGGCCCACCAAGGCGACGAUCAGUAGCCGGACUGAGAGGUUGGCCGGCCACAUUGGGACUGAGACACGGCCCAGACUCCUACGGGAGGCAGCAG